RNAcentral lists this ribosomal RNA (116 nucleotides) under Campylobacter coli. The record is from RNAcentral. Lineage: Bacteria; Pseudomonadati; Campylobacterota; Epsilonproteobacteria; Campylobacterales; Campylobacteraceae. RNAcentral also lists the same sequence under 5 other names.
UUAAGUGAUGAUAGCCUAGGAGAUACACCUGUUCCCAUGCCGAACACAGAAGUUAAGCCCUAGUACGCCUGAUGUAGUUGGGGGUUGCCCCCUGUUAGAUAUGGUAGUCGCUUAGC